GGCGCCCGGACUCGCCCCACGGCCUCGGGGAGCGCUUCGUGGCCCCAUUCCGGGACGCUCGGCGCAUCCCCAGCAUGGUCUUUUCUGGAGAGACUGCGGGUCAGAAAGAUGGCCAGUGGCGCAGGGAUCGGAAGGGACAGGCCUGGCACCCAGGUCUUUGAAAGCCCCAAGUGAGUGCAUCUGGGGGGACGGCCGCCAGGUACCCCAAUUUGCAUAUGUCUCCACUCUUCUGACACCCUCGUGACAGCGCUGCUGAAGAGCUGAAGUCUCCAAAACUGGCCAGGAGAGGGCAGAAAAAAUGGCCCGGGAAACGGGUGGUAGCCCUGGGACGUUUCCUAUGCUCCUCCGUACUGUGUGACCAGGCGUUCUUUAACCCCAGGAAGCUGGUCUGGUUUCCCUCCUAAGACACAGGGAGCUGAAGCAACAUCACCAGCAUGUAUGCACCUCAAGAUGAUUUGUUCAGUGCUCCUUGAUUGUCUUUCUCUACCAUACAAUAAGGCUGUUGAGGACACAGGCCAUCUGUCUCUCGUCACCACUGAAUCCUGACCCUUCGAACAGUGCCUGGCACAAAGCAGAUGUUCAUCAUUUGUUCAAUGGUGAAAUGGAGGCACCCACUGGCUUCAACUUAUGCCAAGUGGCAGAGCUGACUGCGCGGCUGGAGCUCUCAGCUCCCCCCAUGAGCAUCUGCGAAGCGCAGGAUCUCUCCCCGGGGAGAUCAAAGCAGAGCUCCAGGGUGCGUAAUGAUGGCCCCCCCCUAAGAAGUGGUUCUGGGGUGUGGUGCAGAAGACUCCGUCCUCUCAGUGGCCACCACAACUUUGCAGACCCCACGCCAGGGUGCAGCUGCUGGGGCGAGCAAACAGUCGAGAGCCCCAGGGGCGUGCAGGAGAUCGAGCCCAGGACUGAAAAUGACUGCUUUCCUGCACAUCAUUCCUCAUGGCCCAGACCCAAGUUCCCAGGCCUCAGCUACCGGCAGCAGGUACCCUGAAACCCAGGCGGAAGGCUUUGACCUAUAUCAGGUCAGAGGCCGGCAUUCAUCUGGAGGCUCGCCGAGGUCAAGGGGCUCUACGAAAGGGCUACCAGGGCUGAGAGGGGACACAUCACCAGGGGUAGCCACAGUCCAACGUCUCCAGGUGCCCUGACCCUCAGCUGGCAAGCUGCCUCCCUGGUCCCACCUGCAAACCUUACCUAGUGGAACAUUCUAUGUUCCUUGUUGUUGGGAUCCUGAGCCCCUCAUUCAGCACACAUUCUCAGAUGCCCCUCUGAUGACGCUGUCCCCCCAGAGCUGGGAGACCUGGGUCUCCGAGAAGGAAACUGACAAGCUGUCAAUGACACAUCAACCUAGUGAGGGGCUGGGGAUAGAACCAGCACCUCCUGAUCUGCAGAGCAGGGCUCCUUUCACUGCCUUCGGAGGGAAGCAGGUGUUCUCAGCCGCAAAUCCAAACUCAUUGUCAGCUGAAGGCUUUUUGUAUCACUCCUGGGAGCGAGGGGGAGUCUGGGAGAUGUAAUCAGGAUGCUGAAGCAUUGGAAGUUCUGGGAUAUUUUGAUGGUUCUUAGGGGCAAGGAUACAGGGUCAUUCAUCCAAUCAAUCGUCAUGAAGUAGUCAGUACGUGCAGUGCACUCAGUGCUAGGGUACCAGUCCCUACCCUCUUCAGGUCUUUUGACACUGGGAUCACUCUGCGAGCUGUGUCAUGGCCAGCCUAUAACACCAUUGCUUUCUUUUUCCCUUCUAGGGACUUAGUCCCUAGGGACUUAGUCAUAUGAGCGGCUUGCCCAGCUGCAUGAGCACACACACGCACAUGUGCCCCAGCUGUUCCCUCCAAGCGAGAGGUUCUGACUUUGGCCUGAAACGUCUUGCUCCUUUUACCAAAUCACCAAGGCCUUGUCUGCUCUCCCUUGUUCUGCUCUGACUUCCUGACGCCAUCUGGUUCUCAGUUCCCUGUCCCCAGCUCCAACCUGCUGACCAGUGUUGACACGGGAUGCUUUGCUUUGGCUUCCGGGCCCUGGACUGCAUCUUACUCUAGCUGCACGGGCACUCCUGAGAAAGGGCCCAGUUCUGCCCCUGUGAGGGACCAUCAGCAAAUCUGAGGCUCACCCUGAUCCCUGACUUGUGCCAACUCCGGCUUCUGCCUCUCAUUCUGCUCAGGAAAACUCAAGUGUUCGAGUUAGAUGGCUUCAACGGAUUCUCACCCUCUGUAGAAUAACAGCCCCAUUUUCCUUCCUGUAGCAAUUGUGGUAUGCCUUUGCUUUCAGAGAUGUAGCAAGAAUGGCAUAAAGGGGGCACUGAGAGGUCAGUUCAUGUGAGUGAUGGAUUCUUGCUUUUACCUGUGCUCACCUGAAGUCCUUCCUCACUCCUGGGUACCAUUUAUUAAGCCCCGUGUCAAGUGCUUUACAUACAUAAUCUCCUCUAGUUCUCUCUUAACAACCCAACGGAGUAGGAGCGAUUAACAUCUCCAUGGACUGGACAUCGUGGGUGUGUUCUCAACACCUGUGCAGCCCCCGAGGUGAAGCUGCCACGCAGUUUGUAGGAUCUGACCCUGGCCAGCUCCAGGGAGGAGCCCUGGUUAGUUUAAGCAAGUGGUUGUCACAGUGUGUUCCGAGGACCACUGGGGUCCCUGGGACCCUUCCCAGAAGUCUGUGAGGGCUCCACUUCCCAAAGCACAUUUCUGCAUGAGGCUGGACGAUCUUCAUAAACUACAACCCACACAACAUAUUGCAACAGCCUGAGUGCAGAAGCAGCACUCAGGUAUGAGAAACCUGCUAUCUUCUGUGGAGCCAGAUUUUAAAGAGAAUUUGCCAAAGUGUAAAAUAAUGCCACCCGUUUCAGUAACUUUUUUUUUUUUUUUUUGCUUUGGGAAGUAUAGUUAUUAUUCAUAAAAUAUGUUAUUUAUACUAACACAUGUAAUGGGUUUAUUGUUAUUUUUAAAAUGAAUAAAUAUUUAAUCUUUUUCAGUUUUAAUUUCUACCUGGUGACAUGAAUAAGUAGAAUCCAUAGAAACAAUAGCUUGUAGGAGACCUCCCUAAGUUUUUGUGUUUUUUUUUUUUAAGAUUGUAUUUAUUUAUUUGAGAGACAGAGAAUGAGAAGUAGCACAAGAGGGAAAAGGGUCAGAGGGAGAAGCAGACUCCCCGCCGAGCAGGGAGCCCGAUGCGGGACUCGAUCCCGGGACUCCAGGAUCAUGACCUGAGCCGAGGGCAGUCGCCUAACCAACUGACCCACCCAGGCACCCCAAACCUCCCUUAGUAUUAAACAUGUUCUGGGGGGGUCCUGAGAACAAAAGUCUGAGAACCGCCGCCUGGGUCAAUCAUGAUAUUCUGAUAACUCUUGCCAGUGAUUGGUUCAGGAGUUCAGGCCUAAGCCAAUCAGCAUGUGGUCUUCCCUUGGUGACAGCUAUUGGUUGGAGAAUGGGCAUGUGACCCAAUUUGGACCAGUGAGAGGGCUGGAAUGGUUUGCUAUGCACUGUCAGGGAAGUUUGUCCCGAUUCUCUGGAUGUUAGGAGCAAUGCCUUGUCUUUCUCUGAUGUUAUUGUGAGCAGAUGUGGCAUCAGAACUUAAGCAGUUGGCUGACAUCCAGCUGAGGAGGGAGCUGAACCCAGAGAAGGGCAGAGCCAAGAGAAAUCACCAAGAAUGGAGACGGAGCUUUGGAUCAAGUUGACCUACAUCUUCAAGUGCAAUGUCAUGACUUA
Molecule: long non-coding RNA, 3680 nt
Organism: Zalophus californianus (California sea lion)
Lineage: Eukaryota; Metazoa; Chordata; Mammalia; Carnivora; Otariidae
Exons: 5
Source: RefSeq, a predicted model, not a curated record